Molecule: transfer RNA, 73 nt
Filed under: Camelus bactrianus (Bactrian camel)
Lineage: Eukaryota; Metazoa; Chordata; Mammalia; Artiodactyla; Camelidae
Also listed under: 1 other name
Rfam family: tRNA
About the family: Transfer RNA (tRNA) molecules are approximately 80 nucleotides in length. Their secondary structure includes four short double-helical elements and three loops (D, anti-codon, and T loops).
Source: Rfam by way of RNAcentral
GUGGGAAUAGCUCAGUGGUAGAGCUGUAUGCUUAGCAUGCAGGAAGUCCUGGGUUCAAUUCCCAGUACCUCCA